GGCACGGUGGUUUAGUAGUUAAUACGUUUGCCUCGCACCUCCAGGGUUGGGGGUUCGAUUCCCACCUCCGUCC
Molecule: non-coding RNA, 73 nt
Organism: Pangasius djambal
Lineage: Eukaryota; Metazoa; Chordata; Actinopteri; Siluriformes; Pangasiidae
Source: the annotation of a GenBank genome assembly